RNAcentral lists this ribosomal RNA (497 nucleotides) under uncultured bacterium. RNAcentral describes it as "partial 16S ribosomal RNA". It matches the Rfam family "Bacterial small subunit ribosomal RNA", at positions 28 to 507 of the family's 1533-position model. The record is from RNAcentral.
GAUGAACGCUGGCGGCGUGCCUAAUACAUGCAAGUCGAGCGAACAGACGAGGAGCUUGCUCCUCUGACGUUAGCGGCGGACGGGUGAGUAACACGUGGAUAACCUACCUAUAAGACUGGGAUAACUUCGGGAAACCGUAGCUAAUACCGGAUAAUAUAUUGAACCGCAUGGUUCAAUAGUGAAAGACGGUUUUGCUGUCACUUAUAGAUGGAUCCGCGCCGCAUUAGCUAGUUGGUAAGGUAACGGCUUACCAAGGCAACGAUGCGUAGCCGACCUGAGAGGGUGAUCGGCCACACUGGAACUGAGACACGGUCCAGACUCCUACGGGAGGCAGCAGUAGGGAAUCUUCCGCAAUGGUCGAAAGCCUGACGGAGCAACGCCGCGUGAGUGAUGAAGGUCUUCGGAUCGUAAAACUCUGUUAUUAGGGAAGAACAAAUGUGUAAGUAACUAUGCACGUCUUGACGGUACCUAAUCAGAAAGCCACGGCUAACUACGUG